Molecule: ribosomal RNA, 303 nt
Filed under: uncultured bacterium
Lineage: Bacteria
Description: partial 16S ribosomal RNA
Rfam family: Bacterial small subunit ribosomal RNA
Source: RNAcentral
AGCAGUCGCCGCGGGAAUACGUAGGUGGCAAGCGUUGUCCGGAAUUAUUGGGCGUAAAGGGCUCGCAGGCGGUUUCUUAAGUCUGAUGUGAAAGCCCCCGGCUCAACCGGGGAGGGUCAUUGGAAACUGGGAAAUUUGAGUGCAGAAGAGGAGAGUGGAAUUCCACGUGUAGCGGUGAAAUGCGUAGAGAUGUGGAGGAACACCAGUGGCGAAGGCGACUCUCUGGUCUGUAACUGACGCUGAGGAGCGAAAGCGUGGGGAGCGAACAGGAUUAGAUACCCGAGUAGUCCCUGUCUCUUAUAC